Long non-coding RNA from Nicrophorus vespilloides, 389 nucleotides. RefSeq lists it as uncharacterized. The record is from RefSeq and is a predicted model, not a curated record. The transcript has 2 exons. Lineage: Eukaryota; Metazoa; Arthropoda; Insecta; Coleoptera; Silphidae.
UUGUUUUUUUUUCUAUAAUGUCCUGUUGUUUUUUUUUUGAUCUAACGAAGGCAUGUAUUGUUCGUUUGGAUUAACACUUGUUUUGUUUGCAGGAUGCUAUUGUGCGGAAGGAUUUCGGUAAAAAUCCUGCAAAUGGCAUCCUGCAAGAUGAAUGUCCUUGCGCUGCUGAUAAUUUUUUUUUGUGAGAACGGCAGCAAAAGGAGUAGUAGUAAUGUUGUUAUACCCCCCAGUGUGUCAAUUGAAUGUGGUGUCUCUCCUCUGUUCACAGAACGUCGCCUGUCUCGGCUGGGAGCGACCAGCUCGUAGUGUGAACUGCUAUAGCAGUAACCUCGCAGACGUCGCAUGGGACAACUUUCACGUAACUACAUGGUCGGAUAUCUGUAAAAAAA